CCCGCCUCUUGCCAAGUGCGCAUGCGUGCCCAUGGCGGAUUAUCGAUAUUUUCGUCGCGCAACUGGGAGGGUCAGCUGUACCGCGCAUGCGCACUAGGUCUUCACCUGUGCUUGCUUAACGUCGCAGGCGCUUUUGUGCACAGGGCUGUCGCGCCCCGUGUGCCUGCUGUCUUCAUUGCAUGUGUAACCAGGGAAACCAUCAAUUAUUUCGACAGGAGGAAACGGUCUUUUCCUAGGACACGUACACAUCCGGCGUCAAGAGUUCUCCGGGCGCAUGCAUACUGUCAUUACCCAUUGAGCAAGCGUCAUGAGUGCUUUUGGCCGCCCUGUAGUGCGCGUGCGAACUGAGUCUCCUCCGUACGCCCCGGGGCGGCUGCGACUGCGGCCGCGGCCCGAUAGCGACGAGACGGAGACAUCCCUGCCUCUCCCCCGAGUACUGCUGCGGCCUGAGUGGAGCGGAGAGUGUGGAGCCCAGCUUCCCCUCUCUCAUGGGUUGCACAGCUGGAUUGGUCGGGACCAAGGACCGCAACUCCACGCUGCCACCCUUGCUGGCUGGUGGGCAGGGGGCUCCUUGCAAAACUGCGGUGCAGGGCUCGCAGCAAUGCCAAUGAUGUUCCCCACCCUGGACUGCCCUGCCAUGCUGGGUGUGCCCUGCUGGGCCAGAGAGGGCCCCAGGAGAAGCCAGCAGUCUGGGAAGAUACAGCAUGCUGUGGGCAGCUUGCCACCACCCUACGUGCAAAUCUGGAGGGCAUGUGCCCCCAUUUCUCCCUGGUAGUGUGUGCAGUGGCGAGGAGUCAGGCCCCCGGCCACUCCCACUCCGCUCUCGCGCCCUUCCUUUAUUUGCUGGCCAAGUUAGUUGUCAUAUCUGCAAGGGUUCAUGCGUUCAGUGAGAAGAAGGCUUUGAGCUUUCUGCUUAGCAGCACUUCUGCAGCUUAGUCUAGGUGCCUUGAAAAUGGCCGAGGCUGGGAGCAGGAUCCUGUUACUGUCAUCCGUGUUGUGGUUAACAGUGUGAGCGUUUUACAUCGUGUGAAAGUGUCUGAUGUGGAUCCGCCCUUUCUCACAGGCUAGUCCUUGUGCAACUGUCCUUGGCACCAGGUUAUUGGUGAAGAGGUUCAGUGUGACAAUGGGCUCCAAAAUGCCUGGGGUGGAAGGGCCCCCGACAGUUGACACGUCUGCAAAGGGUCUCUGUGCUGGCUGUAGAGAAACAGGGUUAUGGGGCCUGCGCUAAUCUCUUGAAAAGAUCCGAGCCAACCCUGGCAGCAAGUGAGUGCGUGUUUCUGCCUUGGACACCCUCGUGGAACACAACGUGCCACUAGUUGCCUUGGUUUCUCACUGGAUGCACAUUGUUUGCUUGCACAUGUCCAAAGGUACCACCUGCAGUGACUGCCGCUCUUGCCUCUGAACUACUAGGGCACCUUGCAAAAGCAAUGGCCUGCCCCUGGGCUAGGCUGAUAUUAGUGGCCCAGACCCAGAGACUUCCUGUUGUUUCCUGCUGUGCCUGGAUUAGGUGUUGAGCACUUGGACCUCUUCCAGCAUCAGCACGUAUUAGCCUCUCAUUCUCCUGUGGCCAACACCAGAGGGCAUAUGACCAUACUGUCUCUGUCAGCCUCUGUCUCAGCCUUCCUAUGAUGGCUCCCAUGAAAACCCUUGUCCCAUCACAAUGUGCAGUGGGGCUGCAACAGUAUUUCCUAGCUGCAACGAGAAUUGUGAGGUGGGUGGGAAAGAGCCUUCGUUGCCUGCACGCUCCUUCAUUUUUUCAGCUUAGAGCUGCUUGGCUGUCCCAGUGCUCCUUUUCUGUUCUCCUCUGUAUAUGCUGCCCCUACGUAGCCCUCCUGUCUCCUGUGUAUGCUGGGAGAUGGUGUAUGAGGGUGUACAUAGGCCUCCAGUCAGAACUAUUUACUUACGGAGUUAAGCUGAAACCCCUCUACAGAGCAUCAUGCGAAGUGCCUACACAUCUGCAGCAGUGGAAGGCGAAUGGGGUAAGGGUUAGAGGUGAGGGGAUGGCUCUGUGUUGCCCUCCGUGAGAUCCCAGGGAAACACUUUGUUGCGGGCGGUCGAGUGGGUCACAGUACAACCAUUCUUCCGUGCCUGAGCUUUAGCCCAUGAGGUUUGGGUGCAGGUUUCCCCCUGGGUGACAUGACACCGCCUAUACAGGCGCAGUCACUUGAGCACAGAACCAGGGGGAACUGUAUGGUAUGGUUGGGUUUGAAAUGGAAAGGAGCAGGGACCAGGAUGCACUGGUCCGAGUUGGGUUACAAACCAGUGAGGGGUUUCAUACAUGUCUGGGGCAGGGCACUGGGGGUCCCUGUGCUUCUGGCUUGUGGGGGAGGAGCCUGGUGCUGGGGGUGCCCCUUGCUGCUGCCCCCGCAGCCCGUGCUAGUUAGAUGCUUUAACGCCCUUGACUCCCAGCUCUUCGUCUCCGCUUGUCUUAUGAUGCUGACCCGCAGCCCCCGCUCCCCGUUCAUGUCCCCACGGAAAAGGUCGGUCCCGCGUGCGGCUCCCGCCAGCGAUCACCACAGGAGCCGGGGCUGGGGGCGCGUCCUGAAGCGCGCGGCAGGGCCGGCAUCAGAGGCGCGUGUUCCCGUUGGCCGCCUUGAGGAGAGCCGCGAUUGGGUGGAAGAGCUGUAUGGGCGGGGUCUCGGAGACUCCGCCCUUCCUCGCUUUGAUUGGCUUUUGCCGGUGGAGGCGGGUCCAGGAGGAAGUCUCGUUCUCCGCAGUCUGAUUGGCUGUUGGGUUUGGUAGGAGGAGUAGGCCCAACUGCGUGCUGGUUGGUCCGACUGAUCUUCAGCAGCUCGGUUUGCGCUGGCAGGGCGCGGCGUGGGCUGUGCGGGGCCGGGGGUCCUUGUUUUAACAUAAGUACCAUGUUGAGCCCGGUGCGGGGGAGCGAAGAAUUGCCGGUAUUAUUCGUAUUCUACGUCCUUGUCAUGACAGAAAUGCGUGGAGGUGGGAUGCGUGUGCAGAUGUGUAUACAGUGCGUGUGCUGCGUGUAGAAUAGAUGCGGGAGCCCCGCGGCAGCACUGAGCGGUUCCUCCCUCCCCGCCGUUGCGUCCCGGCUCCGCGCCCGGCUGCAGGGACAGGAGGACACGUGGAGCCGCUUCUGUCCCUGUCCUUGUCCGCUCGCUGUAAUGCCCGGCGUGACCACAGGAGAGCAGCACUGAGCCGUCCUCAGGAGCCGUCCGCGUCCCCCUCCCACUCUCCCCCCCCCCUCCCCGCUGCAGUGCGCGGCGUGAGCCGCCGGGGGCAGCACGGAGCGCGCUCUCCUUCGAACCGUGGUGCGGCGCCGGGGGGACCUCGGUUUUGUGACCCACGUGGGAGCGGGGCACGUGCGGGGUGCGCGGUGCCGCAGCCCGGGAGCUUCAGAGCUGGUGCUGGCGGGACGCUGCCCCGCGCCGCCUGCCUCUGGUCCCGCUGCUCGUCGCCGCUGUCCUGGGGCGCCCGGCCCGGCGUCGUUCCGCAGCGGCGGGGGCAGGACCCGGGGGUGUCUGUGGGGGAUGUGUCCUGUGUGGAAACGUGAGUUGGGAACCUUUUUCUGGCAGUGCGGUGAUUUUGUGGGUGGGAAGUUGGUCAUUUAGUGUGGUGAUUUGGGGCGUUUCUGUGGAAAUGUUUGGGGAAAUCUGGGGAUUUGAGACCUUUUUUCUGGAUGUAUGUGGAAAUGUGUGUUUUGCUGUGUGAAACUGGGAAUUGUGUGUGAAGAUAGCUCCUUUCCCUGAAAACACAGUGGCUCUGUAUUUAAAACUGGUUACUCUAGGAGUAGUUUGUAGAAAUGUGUUUAGAGAUAUGGUGUGGUAAUUUUAGGGUGAGUUGGGAGGGUUUUUAGGGGACUGGUUUGUUGUGGGAUGUGUGGAAAAUUGCGUGGCAAUUGGGCAAGCAUAUGGAAAUAUGUGGUCAGGUUGUGUCAGGGAAAUUUUCUGGGGAUUUGGAAACCCUUUUUGUAGGAAUGUGUAUAGAUAAGUGAUGAUAUUUGUGUAGUGAUUUGGGUACCCUUAAUGGAAAUGUGCUGGGUCGGCCCAUGGUGGUCGUCUUAUCCACUGCGGUGCGGUUAACAGCGUGUGCGUUUUCACUCGUGUGAAACGGUCUAACAUGGGCGUGCCCUUUCUCUGAGGCUCUCCUCAUGCACCUGUCCUUGGCACCAGCAUAUCAGUGGUGAGCUGCAGUGUGACAAAUGUUACUUGGGGCAGAAGGGCCCCCAGGAGCUGUCAUGUCUGCAAGGGUCAUUCUGGGUACUGAGACGGGUGUGGCGGUCUCUUGGAAAUAGCCAAAGCACCACAGGUGAGUACGUGUUCCUGCUUUGACACGCCAAGCGGACAGAACGCACCAGCAGUUGCCUAGGCUUCUGCCUGGAGGCACGUCAUUCACGUGCCCUGCUCCAACGGGAACACCUCCACUGACUGCAGCUCUUGCCUCUAACUGCUGGUAGCACCCUCAAAAAGCAAUGGCUUGCCCCUUGACUUGCAGAAUACUAGGGGCCCAGACCCCACAGACUUUGUAUUCUCUUCCCCUGUGCCUGGGGGAGGUGUUGAGCCCUUUGAUCUCUGCAGUCUUCAGCACUUGUUAGCCACUCCUCCUUAUGUGCGCAACACCCAGCCCCUGUGACCUUGUCCUACCUGACAGCCUCUGUCAGCCUCUCCUAGUCUCAUCCUUCCUUGGAAGGCUUCCCAUAAAAUCCCGUCUUCUGUCCCAGCGUGCAGCAGGCCUGCACCAAUGUUUUCCAGCUUGCUUUAGAGAGCUGUAGGGUGGGGGUGGUGCUUCCUUGCCCCCUGCUGUUUGCUUCUGUCAGCUUUAAGGUGUUUAUGUAUUUCAGUUUUCCUUUUCUCCCCUCCUCUGUGCUGCCUGUGUCUUGCGCAUAUGGAGGACGUUGGUGUAAGGCAGGGGCCGGCAGCUCUUUGGGCCUGUGGGCCACAGAGGCGGUACUGGGGAGGUGAAGCGGGCCGGUCAGCGGUGCCGAUCCUGAAUAGCCCAGAUCCCGCGUGCCCUACGGCUCCUCCCCGUACCGCCAACAGUGCCCAGCCUAAGCCCCGACCCCCAGCUCACCCUGCACCUUCUCUGGACUCCCUGGACAAAGUUGACCAGAUGGAACCUGUGUGCAUAACCCUGGCCCGCUGUGCCCCUGCUCCAGACAACCUGUGCACACUGAGCAGCAGCAGUAGCUGUUGCUUGACACGGCGGAAACAUGACUUCUCCUCGUCACGGUGGCCAGUCCCUUCUUCCUGCAGCUGUGCAGAGUCUACAUGUGGCCUGCCCUGGGGCUUGUCUCCACUGCCAUCGCUGCUGCUUCCAGGCCGUGCAGCAGGUCCAUGGAGGCUGUGCAAAGGAACUGUAGGGCAGUCCAGCCUCAGGCUCGUAGUGGUUGCAGCCAGAAGAGCCUGGUAGCUGUGAAGGGUGUGGGGCCACUUGUCCCUUGUGCCGAGCAUGAUCUUCUGUUCACCUCCAGCAGCUAUGGCCGCUGCUCAGCGUGGGUGGGCAUGUGUAGAGGAGGUGCAGUGCAGUUUGGGUUUUGGGCUGUGUGCACGGGUUCUGGCUGGGCUGGUGCUCGUCCACUCUGCCGGGCCUAGUCCUGAGCGGGCGCUGGCUGGAUGGAGUUGGAGCUGUGCGUGUGGGUCCCUGCCAGUAGCUUGGUUUUGGGGCAGUGGCGGGAGAAACUAGAAGCAGCUGUCUUUUCCUGUACAGCCUGGAAAGGCAGUCCAGGCGCACCCCGCUGCAUGCCCGGAGGCAGUGGGAUGCACUAGAGGCUAGACAAUGAUUGGGCAAGACAGGAUUGAUGUACCUGCCAAGGGGCAGACUGAGUCCCUCCAUGGGCCACAUCUGCCCAUGCUACUCAUGGUGUUUCAUAUGGAACAGGUUUUAGGAGCAGAGUAUCUGGAAGGAGGACUACUGUUGAAAAACUGUCUCCCUGCAGCUGUCUCCCCACAUGGAUUUGUGGUGCUGAGCAGCCAUAAUACGCUCAUGCCCUGCCUGUGGCAUGUUCCCUCCCUCCCAAGCUACACCCCCCUCAAGGCCAGUGCCCCUCACUCCCCUUUUCUGUGCUGAUGCUGAAACCUGUCUAGAGAGCAGCUUGCAAAGCACCAAAUUUUCAUUUUUUAAGCAGAAAAAGAAAUGAAAAAACCUGUUGUUGUUCAGGAAGCACCGCAGGACAUCAAUUCAACUUCAGGGGAGUUUGAGAUGUUUGGAAUACAGAUUUUCACCUGUGCAGGAGGGAGGAGGAGGCUAACAACAGGUUGCCUCCACUUUGCAAAGGUCUUUUAAAGCUUUCCUCUGUUCACAUCUAAUGUUUACGUGUGGUUUUUGCUUUGUUUUUUAAAUGGAUAUUCCGAUACGUGUCAAGCAGAUUGGUGUCACUGGAAGUUUGGGAACGGGAGUGAAUCCGUUUUCCCGUGGACUUGGGAGAUGCCAAUGAGCUGGGGCCUGUGUCCCUGGAAAAAAUACAACUCUGGAAGGGAAGAGCAUUGCUCAUGUCUUUCCCUGCCCACCUGGGAAUGCUGCUUGCCCUGUUUUGUUUCUUUUACUCUGCUGUCUAGACCUAUUUUAAUUUACAAAGGUUCACAAAACCACAAAUUAGUUGGUGUUUUAAGCUGCUUUUUCCCACCUUUUCAGGAAGUAGUUACUCAUCUUUGGUCUCACCUGGUAUUGAAGGCUGGAGAAACAGAUUCUUAUUGUACUUUCUCAGGCCAUUGCUUGUGAUGUAAAUGCAGGCUUAUUACUUGUUAACUGUUUCAAACAGCAUGUUCAUCUAACACAGGAGGUAUAUGGUCCCACUAGGGACCUCUUACUGGACUUGGUGCUGGCUACAGGGGAUGACCUGGUAGGGAAUUGACUGACACAAGGUAACCUAGGGGACAGUGACCAUCCAUUGAUUGGAUUCACUAUCUGGCACAGGGUGGGAAAGAUAACCAGUAGGGUAGGAGUGCUAGACUUCAGUGUGGUCAGGAGAUUAGUUAGUGAGGCGCUGAAGGACAAGAGCACUGGUGAGAUGGGAGUCCAGGAAGGGCAGUUGUUCCUAAAGGGAGCAAUUCUACAGGUGUAGAAGAAGAUGAUCCCGUUGCACAGGAGAGGGGAAAAAGGGGCCAAGAAACCCUCUUGGCUGAACAGCAAAAUGCAGGAAAACCUAGGGGCAGUGAGCACAUAUUCAUAGCAGGUAGAUCCUGCCUGACUAACCUUGUUUCUUUUUAUGACCAGGUCACAAAAUGCUUACACACAGGAAUUGAGGUAGAUGUCAUCUACUUGCAUUUUAAGAAGGCCUUCAAUAUGGUAUCUCAUUCUAAUGUCAUUAAUAAACUGAGCCGCUGUCACGUAGAUGAUUACACGAUCAGGUGGGUGGCAAAAUGGCUCAGCGUCAUACCCAGAGAAUGGUGGUGGAUGGGUCGGUGUCAACCUGGAAAGAUGUGGACAGUGGAGUCUGACAAGGCUCGGUCCUUGGACCUGUGCUGUUUAAUGUCUUCAUCAGUCACUUGGAUGAGGGCGUGGAAAGCACUCUGUCCAAAUAUGCAGAUGAUACCAAAUUUAUGGGUAACGUUAACAUGCUAAAGCAGAGGUCCUCAAACUGUGGUCUCUGGACCAGCACUGGUCCACAAGCUCCAUGUAGGUGGUCCUCAGAAAGGUUGCAGAACAAUUGAGAAUCUCUGCAUUUGGCCCCGCAGUUGAUUAAUUUUUUUUCUGGUGACGGAGAUUAAGCGGUCCGCUGAGACCCUCGGCAAUUUUCAAGCGGUCCACGCAAAACAAAGUUUGAGAGCCAGUGCACUAGAGGGUUGGGACCAAAUCUGUGGGGACCUGGACAGGUUGGAAAAUGGGCAGACCAGAAUAGGAUGCAGUUGAACAAAGACAAGUGCAAAGUGCUGCACCUAGGGAGAAGGAAUCACCGGCACGCUUACAGGCUGCGGGAGGGCUUUCUCAGCAUCAGAGCAGCGGAAAGGGAUCUCGGAGCCAGCAUCGACACCGAGAUGAGCGUGAGUUGUCAACGUGACAAAGCGAUUGGUAAAGCUAACCGCACUUUAUCGUGUGUUUGCAGGUGCAGGACAAACAGGUCCAGGGAGGUGAUACUUACCCUCUAUGCGACAUUGGUCAAGCUGCAGUCGGAGUACUCUGCCUGGUUUUGGAUGCCACACUUCAAGAGGGAUGUGGACAACCUUGUGAGGGUUCAGAGGAGGGCAAAAGCUAGUCCUUGCGCUCCUGUCCUUGGAACCAGCUUAUCGGUGAGGAGGCGCAGCGAGACAUUCGACACCAAAAGGCCCGGAGUAGAAGGGCCCCCAACAUGUGUCGCAUCUGCAACGGGUCCCUGCGUGAGCUACUGAGAAACGAGCGUUUGGGGCCCGCACCGGUCUCUCGGAAACAUCCGAGCCAGCCCUGGCAGCAGGUGCCUGUGCGUUCCUGCCUUGGACACGGUCAGGGAACGCAAUGCGCCAGCAGUUGCCUCGGCUUCUGACCGCACGCACGUCGUUUGCUUGCAAGCAUCCAAAGCUAGCACCUCCAGCGGCUGCAGCUGUUGCUUCCCAACUACUAGGAGAGCCUUGCAAAAGCAAUGGCCUGCCCCUGGGCCAGGCUGAUACCAGUGGCUCAGACCCAGAGACUUGCUGUUGUACCUCCCGGUGUCUGGAUUAGGUGUCGAGCACUUGGAACUCUGGCAGCUUCAGCACAUAUUAACCUCUCGUCCUCCUGUGGCCAACACCACGGAGCCCGUGACCCUAAUGUUUCUGUCAGCCUCUGUCUCACCCUUCCCCUGAAGGCCUCCCGUGAAAUCCCUUGUCCCAUCCCAGUCUGCAGGUUGGCUCCACCGGUAUUUCCCAGCUGCAUGUGGAGAGUUGUGAGGGAGGUGGGGAAGAGUUUUAUGCCUCCGUACUCUACUUGUUUCAGCCUGAAGCUGUUUGUUUGUCUCAGGGCCUUUUUUUCCCCUCUCUCCUCCUCUGUCUGUGCUUCUGCUGCGUAGCCACACUGCCUCCUGUGUAUGUGGGAAGGUGAUGUAAGGGGGUGCACAGUUGCCCUUAGGAAGGAGCAAUUUUUCUAUGGAGUUAAGCUGAAACUGCUGUACAGAACGCCUUGCAAAGUGCCUCCAGGUCUGCAGCGGUAGAAGGUGUAUGGGGUAAGGCACAGAGGUGAGGGAAUCACACUGUGUUGCCCUCUGUGAGCUUCCUGGGAAACACUUGGGGCGGGGUGCGGUUCAUGUAGGUGGCAGGGCAGUGCAACCAUUUUUCUUCCAUGCCCAUGGGGUGUGGGUGCAGGUUUCCCCCUGGGUGACAUGACACUGCCUGUGCAGGCCCAGUCACCUGAGCGUAGAGCCAGGGGGGGACUUUAUGGUAUUGUUGGGUUUGAACUACAAAGGAGCAGGGACCAGGAUGCACGGGUGCCAGAGAUGUGUUCCAGACCAGGUGAGGGGUGCAUGCAGGUCUGUGGCAGCGUCCUAGUGCAGGGCAGGGCACUGGGGGGUCCCUGUGCUUCUGGCUAGUGCGGGAGGAGCCUGGUGCUGGGGGUGCUCUGUGCUGCUGCUCACCAGCCCGUGCUUGUGAGAUGCUUUGGUGCCCCUGACUCCCAGCCCGCAGCCUCUGCUUGUCUUCUGUUGCCCUCACUCCUGACCCGCAGCCUUGUCCCCACGGAAAAGAUCAGUCCCAAAUGCAACUCAGGUGGGUGAACAGGUGAUCCAGGGCUGGGUUUGGUGGGGGAGCGGGGGCAACACGUCCCCUAAGUGCACGGUGGCAUGCGGUUGUGUCCCUCACUGGUGCUGCGUGGGCUGGGGAUGUGGUCCCACUGUUCCCGAAAGCAAUGGGUUGCACCUGCUGGGCUGCAGAGGCCCCGGGGCGAGGGCAGUAGGGAGGGAGCCCGAGUCUACAGUGGGCAACCUGCCCCUGCCUUGCACACAGGAUUGUGGGCACGGGUUCCUGCUGCUCCUCGGGAAUGCGCACAGCUGUGGGGUGUCUCGGACGGCCAGAGCCGACUCGAGGUGAUCUAAUAAUUACUCGUUCGUUGGGCGGGCUGGUGAAUAGAGAGGCUGACAAAGCUUAA
Molecule: long non-coding RNA, 9987 nt
Organism: Alligator mississippiensis (American alligator)
Lineage: Eukaryota; Metazoa; Chordata; Crocodylia; Alligatoridae
Exons: 2
Source: RefSeq, a predicted model, not a curated record